RNAcentral lists this transfer RNA (72 nucleotides) under Sarcopeltis skottsbergii. Its description in RNAcentral is "tRNA-Cys". It matches the Rfam family "tRNA". From Rfam's summary of the family: Transfer RNA (tRNA) molecules are approximately 80 nucleotides in length. Their secondary structure includes four short double-helical elements and three loops (D, anti-codon, and T loops). Lineage: Eukaryota; Rhodophyta; Florideophyceae; Gigartinales; Gigartinaceae. The record is from RNAcentral.
GGCGGUAUGGCCAAGUGGUAAGGCAGAGGAUUGCAAAUCUUUUAUCCCCAGUUCGAGUCUGGGUACCGCCUA